This 497-nucleotide ribosomal RNA is filed under the name uncultured bacterium. RNAcentral's name for it is "partial 16S ribosomal RNA". It matches the Rfam family "Bacterial small subunit ribosomal RNA", at positions 28 to 507 of the family's 1533-position model. The record is from RNAcentral.
GAUGAACGCUGGCGGCGUGCCUAAUACAUGCAAGUCGAGCGAACAGACGAGGAGCUUGCUCCUCUGACGUUAGCGGCGGACGGGUGAGUAACACGUGGAUAACCUACCUAUAAGACUGGGAUAACUUCGGGAAACCGGAGCUAAUACCGGAUAAUAUAUUGAACCGCAUGGUUCAAUAGUGAAAGACGGUUUUGCUGUCACUUAUAGAUGGAUCCGCGCCGCAUUAGCUAGUUGGUAAGGUAACGGCUUACCAAGGCGACGAUGCGUAGCCGACCUGAGAGGGUGGUCGGCCACCCUGGAACUGAGACACGGUCCAGACUCCUACGGGAGGCAGCAGUAGGGAAUCUUCCGCCAUGGGCGAAAGCCUGACGGAGCAACGCCGCGUGAGUGAUGAAGGUCUUCGGAUCGUAAAACUCUGUUAUUAGGGAAGAACAAAUGUGUAAGUAACUAUGCACGUCUUGACGGUACCUAAUCAGAAAGCCACGGCUAACUACGUG